This is a long non-coding RNA of Sorghum bicolor (sorghum), 532 nucleotides long. RefSeq lists it as uncharacterized. Lineage: Eukaryota; Viridiplantae; Streptophyta; Magnoliopsida; Poales; Poaceae. The transcript has 3 exons. The record is from RefSeq and is a predicted model, not a curated record.
AAAACAACGCCUGAACUGAAAUGGCCAGACCGUUCCCAUCCCAGUUCUCUCUGUUCUUCAGAGUUCAGAAAAUCAUCCUCCAUGAUGGUACACGGAGCAUGCAUUCAAGAAAUGGAGUAAGUUCUGUCUAUCUCCUCGGAGAAGCAAAGGUGCAUUGUCUUCUCCAGAUUGCUAGGGCCUAAACCCCACAAGUCAACUGCACCUCUACGUUCAUAUGUAUAUUUCAUGUUUCUACUCGUGUACCCAAGGCCGGCUCUAAGGGAGGGGCAGGCAAUGCGACUGCCGGGGGGCCAUGAAGCUUGGGGCCCAAGAUAAUAUAGGUAAUUAGUACAUAUAAUUUUCUAUUUGGCAUAAUAAGCAUUUGAAUAUCCAAGACAAACAAAUCAAAGCCUUAGAUUACUCUUCCUUCCGGUCCAAUUAUACAUAACGGUAGGGAAACAUCAGAUAGUACACACGCCAUCAUAGUAAGCAACUGAAAGCCCAAGUUUGAUUUUGGUAAUUAAUGACACCAAGUUGCUAAUGCCUUGUGGUU